Molecule: ribosomal RNA, 483 nt
Filed under: uncultured bacterium
Lineage: Bacteria
Description: partial 16S ribosomal RNA
Rfam family: Bacterial small subunit ribosomal RNA
Source: RNAcentral
GACGAACGCUGGCGGCGUGCUUAACACAUGCAAGUCGAACGCUGAAGCUCAGCUUUUGUUGGGUGGAUGAGUGGCGAACGGGUGAGUAACACGUGAGUAACCUGCCCCCUUCUUUGGGAUAACGCCCGGAAACGGGUGCUAAUACUGGAUAUUCACUGGUCUUCGCAUGGGGGUUGGUGGAAAGGGUUUUUCUGGUGGGGGAUGGGCUCGCGGCCUAUCAGCUUGUUGGUGGGGUGAUGGCCUACCAAGGCUUUGACGGGUAGCCGGCCUGAGAGGGUGACCGGUCACAUUGGGACUGAGAUACGGCCCAGACUCCCACGGGAGGCAGCAGUGGGGAAUAUUGCACAAUGGGCGCAAGCCUGAUGCAGCGACGCCGCGUGAGGGAUGGAGGCCUUCGGGUUGUGAACCUCUUUCGCUCAUGGUCAAGCCGCAACAAUGGUUGUGGUGAGGGUAGUGGGUAAAGAAGCGCCGGCUAACUACGUG